RNAcentral lists this ribosomal RNA (492 nucleotides) under uncultured bacterium. RNAcentral describes it as "partial 16S ribosomal RNA". It matches the Rfam family "Bacterial small subunit ribosomal RNA", at positions 28 to 507 of the family's 1533-position model. The record is from RNAcentral.
GAUGAACGCUAGCUACAGGCUUAACACAUGCAAGUCGAGGGGAAACGCCAUCGAAAGCUUGCUUUUGAUGGGCGUCGACCGGCGCACGGGUGAGUAACGCGUAUCCAACCUGCCCAUCACUUGGGAAUAACCUUGCGAAAGUAAGACUAAUACCCAUUGUUAUCCCACGAAGGCAUCGGAAUGGGUUUCUAGAUUUAUCGGUGAUGGAUGGGGAUGCGUCUGAUUAGCUGGUUGGCGGGGUAACGGCCCACCAAGGCAACGAUCAGGAGGGGGUCGGAGGGGAAGGUACCUGACAUUGGAGCAGAGACACGGACCAAGCGACUACGGGAGGCAGCAGUGAGGAACAGGAGGCAAUGGGGGAGAGCCUGAGCCAGCCAAGUAGCGUGCAGGAAGACGGCGCUAUGGGUGGGAUACUGCUUUUAGGAGGGAAUAAAGUGGGUCACGUGUGACUUUUUGCAGGUACCUGAUGAAUAAGGACCGGCUAACUCCGUG